Centruroides sculpturatus (bark scorpion) is the source of this 1434-nucleotide long non-coding RNA. RefSeq lists it as uncharacterized. NCBI's taxonomy places the organism in Eukaryota, Metazoa, Arthropoda, Arachnida, Scorpiones, Buthidae. The transcript has 3 exons. The record is from RefSeq and is a predicted model, not a curated record.
UGGAAGCAAGAGCAUUGGAAAGGGGUCCGCGUAAAGUAUGAUGAUUUCACACCAAACUAGUCCAUUCCAGUCACGUCAAGUCGCGCUACUUUGCUGUUUGUUACCUUAUCUGUCCCUUUGAUUUUUCCCUUCUUCCUAUAAAACCACAUUCCCACAACAUCCGUGCGCUGCCGUGAAUGCAAAGCAAGGGCUUUCACACUGGAUCAGUCAAGUCAGCAAGUCAGUCAGUGAAUUUCUCGAAAAACACAAUUACAGAUAAGUUACUUAGAUAAAUCUAUUAUAAGUAAACAGUCUUUAGUUAUAAAUGACUUAAUUUGUAGCCGGCGUUAGUAUUUUUUGUUUUAAAGAGUUUUAAGAUUAAUGGCAUAAAUAAUACAAUGUUACAAUAAUAUUAUGUCAUAUAAACAUUAUAAUAAUCGAUUAUUAUUUUUAAAAUUAUGUCCAGCAACUGGCAAAAGACUAGUUUAAACUGAUAAACAUGUUGUUGAGUCCAUUCUAUUCUCCACGCCACUGUACUCACUAUGAAAUGCAUGGAACGUCCUCCAUUACUUUUAAAUGGAGCACCUGCUUGGCGAAUCCACAUGCAUUCGUCUUAAAUGGUUUAGUGUGAAAUCAACCCGAGUUCUUCAUUGUGAAAAUCUUAUUUUAAAGGUUUAUCAUGACUUCAUGAAGAAAGGAGCCUGACAUAUUUGGAUCCAGGGGUGGAGGGGGCAUCAGAAAUUGGAAAUAUCCAAAUUUCAAGUAGGACUGGUCCAUUUAUAUUCUUAGGACCCCAUACCGAUCCAUAUAUUUUCCAUGCUGCUUGAACAAAUCUAUGCUUUUGUCUGGGCCAGACCACACAGAUUCUUGAGAGUCUGAUCCAAUUCAAACUUGAGUUUUCAAAGUGGCAGAAAAUACAAGGGAAGCGGUGCUUCCACAGCUUCCUCGGACAGCACGCCACUGGUCUAUAGCAACAUCAUCUCUGUCCUGUAUCUUGUCAGUUCCUCUGUAGAUAUUGCAUGGUUGGUUAAAAUAAAAGUCAAAUUAUUGUCUAGACUGUUGUCUUACUACAACCUUACCAUUGGAACAAAGCCACACAGAUACAUGGUCAGGGUUGACACUGAAUAGCUCAACAAGAUAGGACAAAUUUACAUUAUCCAGUUUCAUGUUGACACAUACUACAUUACAGGUACCUUGAUGCCAUAACAUAUAUUCCACCAUGGUUCCAUGCAAAUGAAAACUGUCAUUUAGAUUACAAUCAAAAUUUUAUAUCAAAAAGUUAUUUUUUCCUCCAAAAAAUUUAUUUUUGUUCACAAAAUACAGAUUGUGUUCUGUUGCGAAAUAUUUCACUACACAGUUUCCUAUCACAUGCUGCAUAAAUAACAUCUAAUUAAAGUAAGUAUUUAAAUAAUAUGCCAUGCUCUGUUCCCAAGUUUUUAAGCAUAGUAAAGUAUU